GAACACUCAAAAUUAUCGGGCAGUUCCUCCUUUAAUGCGUCACCCACGCGACAGACAUCCACUCCUGUGAAUGCAAGUCCUGCAAAGUACACAACCCCUGAAACGGUUAUGAAGUUAUCCUUUCCAGAAUACGUAUUGCACACCGACGCAGAACUUGAGCAAGUCCGAGAACAGUACUUUCAGUUGUCGAAGAGAGGCGAACAGCGCAACUGCCAGAUGUCAAAGGAGCUCAGAUGCCGGCUAGUUCGAAACACCAUGACCAGUAUCAUUGCAAUCCUGAGGGCAAAGGGGAAUGAAGAAUCACACAGAUACCCAUCAAAGCCAGAAAUCACAGCAAUGGCAAAGAGAAUCGUGCUGUACUACCCCAUGCUGCAGGACCAAGGCCUCCAUACAUGGGUCACUGUGUACACACAGCCGUACAAAAGACUGAAAAAUGUGAAAUCCCCCCAAAAAAGAACUUCAGAUGGCAGACGUUCAAAGAGCUCUACAAAGAAGCGCUGCCUUGAGCAGCCAACAGACACGGAUGAAAUGGAGUCAAGUGACUCAACAAUCAUUCUGGAUCUGUCCACAGAAGGAAGUGGCAGCCCAGGUUCAGAGAAUAAAGAAAGUGAGUUAGAAGGACAAAGAAGAUCCCAAAGCCUACCUGAAGAAACACCCUCUGCCCUGUCCAGUCCUGAUGUUGAGUUUGUCCAACUGCCUCGUUACUGUGUGUAGUGGGGGUGUGUGCAUCUUUGUAGGGGUGCACUUGUGUGCCUACACGCAAUUCUAUGUGAUUGCCUGACCAUAUGAGUUUCGGACAAAUAGUUCUCUUGCAUUUAUCAUAUAAAAAAUUAUUUGAUUUUUUAAAAUGGCAUUUAAAUGGUUAAAAUUCCAAAAAUGAAUAGGUAUUUAGUAGUUAGGAUCAGGGCUGAUAUUUGUUAAAAGAUUUAAUUCCAUGAAAGUUUAAUCUAAUAUUAAUGUAUGAUUUUUAUAGCAGUUUUUUGAAAUAUUCUUUGUCAUGCAACAACAUGGGAUGAACUUUUUUAAACUGAGGCAUAUUAAUCAUGUAUAUUUGUGUCUUACAGCUAACAAGUCUGCAGAUAUUGACAGUCCAGACACCUACAGUCCAGCAACCUUGGCCAAACACUACAAGACCCUACAAACUUUGUAUAAAAGAAAAAAUCCAAACCACCAGGAUGUCUCAUCUCUUAGAUUUGGAAUUCGUAGCCAGAAGAGCAUUCAUUGAUUCAAAUACUGUUCGCGAAGAGGACAGACACGAGAAGGUUCUCGAAGCAUAUCCUUGUUUCAAGGAUGUUGAACAUGUGAUGGAGGAGCAGCGAUGAACUGAAGGGAAGAUGGCAUGACUUCUGCCAGAAGGUGCAGUUUUUUGGUGUGUGGAAAAAGGCGCUGAACCCCCAAUAGGAAUGGACAAAUAUGAACAGGCUCUUGAGAUCCUAAGUGUGCUGCCAUCACUGUUCCCCUCCACGUCUGCUCCUCCAAAGAGGGUACGAGAUGCGAGUGAGGCUCUGCUGCAUGUCCUCGAGGAAACAGAAGACCCCAAUUCCUACUUGAAGAAACGCCCUCUCUCCUGCCCAGUUCUGAUCGUCGGUCCGUCCAACUACCUCCUAGUGGUAGGAAAUGUUGCAGUAACCACCAUUCCAAAAGACAAGCUUACAGAGAGUGCUUUAUACCUUAUGGCCUACUAUUAUACCCUAUCCAAAGUGUGUAGCCACUCUGCUUUCAGUCAUACAGACGGAGGUCCUCUUAGACAAAAUCCAUGAGAGAGAUCUCACAUCGUCUUACAAGAAGAGCAUGGCUGGGUGGAAAGCUUUUAUUGGCCAAUAAAACCAGUGGUCAGAUAUGGUGUAGGAUAGCACUUCCUCCAUCCCUCCAAGGGUACUACAGUCCGUGUUCAUUGUUAUGCAUUCUUGGUCUGAAUUUGGCUAAGUUAGCAGUGUUAAUUUGGGGUGCACGACAAUAUUAGCCAACAUGUCGAUAUCCUGUGAUGUGAUGUUAUAUUGUGUGUUGUUUGCACAAUUUUGUACGUGUAUUGAGGGGCACAUUGGUCAGAUGUUUGGACCUGGCCUAACAUUAACCCUGCCAAAAUGUUUUAUGAAGCUGUUUCCCUCAGUCCUCUGGGACUUUUUGUUGUUUAAAUAAUAAUAAAAAAAAGU
Long non-coding RNA from Mugil cephalus (flathead mullet), 2153 nucleotides. RefSeq lists it as uncharacterized. The record is from RefSeq and is a predicted model, not a curated record. The transcript has 7 exons. Lineage: Eukaryota; Metazoa; Chordata; Actinopteri; Mugiliformes; Mugilidae.